GCCGCGGCCGGGAGGGACCGAGCGGGGAGCAAGGCCUGCGGGGAGGCGCAGGAUGGACGCGUUGGCUGUCAUGAUGUAGGACCUCCUGACCUAGAACCAUGCCCGGCGCAGGGAGAACAACGAGCUUACGGACCGGGUGCGGGGGCUGCUGUGCGAGAAAGCCUACCUGCUGGCCCGGGAGCGUUCGCCGGCCCACCUGGUGGCUUUCCCUGGACGUUUAACGGCGACUCCGCCCGGCCUCCCGACUUUUUGAUGCAGGCGUUCUCUUACAUGACUUUCUUCGAGGCUAGAUUCUCGAAAGACAUCCUGAAGGUGGCUUUCUUAAUUAGCUGCCUCACCGGCUGGCGGAGCAGUUCGUAGUCGCCUACAUCGAGAGGGAGAGCCCCGUCCUGGCUCAGUACUGGGGCUUCGUGGACGCGCUGUAGCGGGUCUUCGCCGUCGUGGGUAGGAAACAGUCGGGCCGGAUCCCCGGUGUCUGGGGAGCGGCUGCCGGCCGGGCCCGCGCGAGCCGCUUCACUCCUACAAGCCCGGCUCACUAGUUCCAAGCUGCUGGACUUUGACCCUCGCUGGGAAGCUUGAUCGCCGCCUGUUCUCGCCAAUCUCUAUGCCUUUGCACUGCCCAGCAACCCGGUCACUGCCCAGGACCUGUUAAAAGUUGAAUGGACCUCCCAGAAUCACGCCGCUGCCACCGCCGUUUCUAGAGACGGCUUUUGGCCACCUUUGAGAAUCAGGGUCAAACUUGGAAGGGCCUGCAUUUGUCACACUUCCUCGGACACUAAUUUGGAUAGUUCAGGCCCAGAGACGGCUUCCCGGGUUAGUGUGCCUGACAACACUGAAGAAAAAUUGUGACAUUUUCCUUCCCCAGAAUUACUUCGUUUUAUACAUUUCACUUCUCUUCUGAAAUCACAGCAAUGCCAGUUUGCGCCUUUUGGUCUGAGGAACGCAGGCCCUGGCCACUACCAGGAAAAAGUAUUUACUUUUAAAACUUGAAUGUAUAUCUUUACCGUAUGCCUAGUACAGUAGUGCUUGGAAGAAACAGAUUAGUAAGACAAAAUAUAUGUCUUCAAGAACACUUACGUUCUGAGAAAGAAUUCUGAAUGCAGAUUCUAAUGUCUGUUUCCUUGAUGGAGAACUAUCAAAGCAGUCAAAGCUAUCAAAAUAAAAAAGAAUUCUGAUUGGGUGCAGUGGCUCACACCUGUCAUUCCAGCACUUUGAGAGGCCAAGGUGGGCAGAUCACAUGAGGCCAGGAGUUCAAGACCAGCCUGGCCAACAUGGCAGAAACCCCAUCUCUACUAAAAAUACCAAAAUUAGCCGGGCAUGGUGGAACACACCUGCAAUCCCAGCUACUCGGGAGGCUGAGGCAAGAGAAUCGCUUGAACCUGGGAGGCAGAAGUUGCAGUGAAACAAGUUGGUGCCAAUGCAUUCCAGCCUGGAUGAUGGAGCGAGACUCUGUCUCAAGAAAAAAAAAACAAAAACAAAAACAGAACUCUGCCUCAUAGCGUCUUUUAAGUUAUACACUGGACCUAUCCUUUCCUCACUGACAGACAUUUUAAAAAUUUUUUGGUAAGGCCUAGUUCAUAUAAAAUGUAAUCCAAGCCAAAAGUUAACAAGAAUAAGGGGAGGAAAGGGGACUCCAAUAGCAGAGAAAGGUAUUUACCUGGGAUAUACACUGCAAGAAAAUCAAAGCUAUAAGAAACGUCCAUGAAUAGUAGCCAUAAGGCAUCAGAGUGAUAAAAUUCCUGUCCCUAGGAGGGAAUAUUGGAGUUUGCCAGAGAAACAGAAUGAGAGAGACAGAGAGGUUUAUUGUAGGAAUUGGCUCAUAUGAUUACGGAGGCUGAGAAGACCCACGAUCUGCCAUCUGCAAGCUGGAGAAUCAGGAAAGCUGGAGGUGUAAUUCAGUCAAGUCCAAUGGCCAGAGAAGCAAGUGUACUGAUAUCCAAGAGCAGGAGAAAAUAGAUGUCCCAGAACAAGCAGAGAGGCUGAUUUUGUCCUUCCUCUGCCUUUUUGUUUCAUAUGGGGCACUGAAUGGACUGAUGCCCAUCCACAUUAGUGAGGGUGGAUCUUCUUUACUCAGUCUACCAGUAGAAAUGUCAAUGACUUCCAGAAACACCCUCACCAACACACGUGGAAAUAAUGUUUUACCAGGUAUCUGGGCAUCCCUUGGUUCACUCAAGUUGACACAAAAUUAACCAUCACAGAAGGAGACUGGCCUUACUCUGAAAUUAGGAAACUAAAGAAGUGACCAGAAUGGAGACUAGGUAGAGACAACUAGUUCUCUACCAAACAUGUACAGUUAUUCGUUGGUAUCUGAAGGGGAUUGGUUCCAGGAACUCUCAGGGAUACCAAAAUCUGCAGGUGCUCAAGUCAUUUAUAUAAAAUAUUACAGUAUUUGCAUAUAACCUUUGCACAUCUUCCAUAUACUUUAAAUCAUCUCUACAUUACUUAUAAUAAUGAAUGUGUAAAUGCUAUGAAAAUAGUUACUACACUAUUGUUUAUUUGUAUUUUUAUUGAAUUGUUUUGGGGUGGGGGGCAGCUGUAUCUUUCUUAGUAAUAGAACCCCUGGUUUUAGCUGGGCACAUGACUGCCCUCAAUAAAGAUUAAAGUACCCCAGCCUUCCUUGAGAUUGUGGCCAUGUGACUGAACUUUAGACAGUGAGAUAUAAGCAGAUAUCUUCUGUGGCAGUGUUAGGAAACUAUUAAAGACAGUAAGAACAUUGCCCUUUGCCUUCUUUUUCCUUUCUUCAUUUUUCUGCCUGGAAUGCAAAUGUGAUGGCUAACACCCUAGCAGCCAUUUUAGAUUAUGAAGAUGAGAGUCACUCCCCAGGAAGGGUGGACCUGAAAGCUGGAUUCUAGAUGUGGAAUGACAAUACCAGCCCUGGACUACCUACCUGUAGGCUGUGUGUGUGUGUGUGUGAUUGACAGAGAGAGAGAGAGAUAGAUACCACAAGUAACACAAAGCAUCAUACCUGGGACUGGGAAGGUUAAUGUUUAAACAUUUUAAAUGUGGCAUUGGUUUGUUGAAGACAGUCAAGCAGUAGGUGCUGCAGGCUUUGUUGAGGCUAGAAAGCUGUUGGUCUUUAUUAGGUGAUGGCAAAACAAUGGAUCACAUUUUCAUGUGCUGUGUCUUGGGAGGCAAAUGAUGAGAAUGUAGGAUUGGGGAAAAUGGUAAGGAAAAUCCAAAAUGUUCAUGUUUUCUAACCCCUUCUUGCCAAUCUUAAAAGAAGGACAAACAGGCUAGAUUAAGCAAGUCUACAGUUACAAUUGGAAGGAAACACAGCCGUACUAAGGAAGUACUCUGUCUGUGGCCUGCAGUCUAGUUUGACUAGGUCCUGUAUUUGAGCUUUGAAAGAGUAAAGAAUACAAGUGCUCGUAUACCCCUGAAGUAGUUACCAGCAGUGACUGCAAGGAGGUAAUCUUAUGGGAUGAAACUAUAACUCUGUAUUAACCAUCAUAUAUAGCAUAUAUGUGUAUAUGUAUGUGUGUGUGUGUAUAUGUGUAUAUAAAUAUAUGUGUGUGUAUAUACACACAUGUACACACCCUACAACCCAGUGAUUUCAAAAAAUUAAACAUUUGUUUAGCUCAUGAAUCUGUGGGUUGGGUGAACAUUUCUAUUGGUCUUGGCUGGGCUCACCUGUACCCAGUCAGCUGCAGGGUCUAGCUCUUCUUAUCUUGGCUGGGAUCUCACACAUGUCUAGGAUCAGCUGCUUUACUAGUCUAGGAUUGUCUUGGCUGAGACAGGUGGACUACUCAGUUCUCCUCCACUGCCUUAUCCUUCAGCUGGCCAGCCCAGAAAUGUUGCCAUGUUUACAGCAUAAGAGCAAGCAAGAAAGAAUAAUAUGCAACCACUUUUCCAAGCCUAAGGUGAAAGGGCGGGCAGAACCUGUGGUGUUAGGAGGCAACUCAUACCAGCCCAUGGGUCUACCGUUUAAUUUUCAGAAAUUUGGCAAGCUGAUUGUUAACACAGCUGUUGUUUAAUUUAUGUACUUGUAAUUAAAUAAUUUACAUUAAAACAAAGAUA
Long non-coding RNA from Homo sapiens (human), 4017 nucleotides. Ensembl annotates it as long intergenic non-protein coding RNA 667. NCBI's taxonomy places the organism in Eukaryota, Metazoa, Chordata, Mammalia, Primates, Hominidae. The record is from Ensembl.